CAAUAGCGUAUAUUAAAGUUGUUGCAGUUAAAAAGCUCGUAGUUGGAUUUCUGGAUGGAGCGACCGGUCGGGCAUUAAUUUGUCUGCACUGGAGUCGGUUCCGUCCAUCCUCUUGGAAAGUGCGUGGGGCAUUAAGUUGUCUGGCGUAUGAUCCAAGUCGUUUACUGUGAAAAAAUUAGAGUGUUUAAAGCAGGCCUUCGCCUUGAAUACAUUAGCAUGGAAUAAUAAGAUAGGACUUUGGUCUAUUUUGUUGGUUUGCAGACCGAAGUAAUGAUUAAUAGGGAUAGUUGGGGGUAUUUAUAUUCCGAUGUCAGAGGUGAAAUUCUUAGAUUUGUUAAAGACGGACUACUGCGAAAGCAUUUGCCAAGGAUGUUUUCAUUGA
This 382-nucleotide ribosomal RNA is filed under the name uncultured eukaryote. RNAcentral describes it as "partial 18S ribosomal RNA". It matches the Rfam family "Eukaryotic small subunit ribosomal RNA", at positions 592 to 976 of the family's 1831-position model. The record is from RNAcentral.